AUUAAACGCUGGCGGCAUGCUUUACACAUGCAAGUCGAACGGCAGCACGGCUUCGGGCCUGGGUGGCGAGUGGCGAACGGGUGAGUAAUGCAUCGGAACGUACCGUGUAAUGGGGGGAUAACGUAGCGAAAGUUACGCUAAUACCGCAUACGCCCUGAGGGGGGAAAGCGGGGGGAUCGUAAGACCUCGCGUUAUACGAGCGGUCGAUGUCGGAUUAGCUAGUUGGUGGGGUAAAGGCCUACCAAGGCGACGAUCCGUAGCGGGUCUGAGAGGAUGAUCCGCCACACUGGGACUGAGACACGGCCCAGACUCCUACGGAGGCAGCAGUGGGGAAUUUUGGACAAUGGGCGCAAGCCUGAUCCAGCCAUGCCGCGUGAGUGAAGAAGGCC
RNAcentral lists this ribosomal RNA (389 nucleotides) under uncultured bacterium. RNAcentral's name for it is "bacterial SSU rRNA". It matches the Rfam family "Bacterial small subunit ribosomal RNA", at positions 29 to 416 of the family's 1533-position model. The record is from RNAcentral.